RNAcentral lists this transfer RNA (86 nucleotides) under Candidatus Omnitrophota bacterium. RNAcentral's name for it is "tRNA-Leu". It matches the Rfam family "tRNA". From Rfam's summary of the family: Transfer RNA (tRNA) molecules are approximately 80 nucleotides in length. Their secondary structure includes four short double-helical elements and three loops (D, anti-codon, and T loops). The record is from RNAcentral. Lineage: Bacteria; Pseudomonadati; Candidatus Omnitrophota.
GGGCGGGUGUUGGAAUUGGCAGACAGCUCGGACUUAAAAUCCGAUGUCCCGUGAGGGACGUGAGGGUUCGAGUCCCUCCCCGCCCA